GCUUCGGAAGCUGACAAGGUGUAUGCGGCUGGCUGUUAACCAGAGGGUGGUCGGUUCGAUCCCGACCCGAAGCG
RNAcentral lists this transfer RNA (74 nucleotides) under Candidatus Riesia sp. Its description in RNAcentral is "tRNA-Asn". It matches the Rfam family "tRNA". Rfam says of the family: Transfer RNA (tRNA) molecules are approximately 80 nucleotides in length. Their secondary structure includes four short double-helical elements and three loops (D, anti-codon, and T loops). Further hydrogen bonds mediate the characteristic L-shaped molecular structure. tRNAs have two regions of fundamental functional importance: the anti-codon, which is responsible for specific mRNA codon recognition, and the 3' end, to which the tRNAs corresponding amino acid is attached (by aminoacyl-tRNA synthetases). tRNAs cope with the degeneracy of the genetic code in two manners: having more than one tRNA (with a specific anti-codon) for a particular amino acid; and 'wobble' base-pairing, i.e. permitting non-standard base-pairing at the 3rd anti-codon position. Lineage: Bacteria; Pseudomonadati; Pseudomonadota; Gammaproteobacteria; Enterobacterales; Enterobacteriaceae. The record is from RNAcentral.